This 403-nucleotide ribosomal RNA is filed under the name Verrucomicrobiota bacterium. RNAcentral describes it as "Verrucomicrobia bacterium partial 16S ribosomal RNA". It matches the Rfam family "Bacterial small subunit ribosomal RNA", at positions 355 to 776 of the family's 1533-position model. The record is from RNAcentral. Lineage: Bacteria; Pseudomonadati; Verrucomicrobiota.
UGGGGAAUAUUGCACAAUGGGCGCAAGCCUGAUGCAGCAACGCCGCGUGAACGAUGAAGGUCUUCGGAUCGUAAAGUUCUGUUGCAGGGGAAGAUAAUGACGGUACCCUGUGAGGAAGCCCCGGCUAACUACGUGCCAGCAGCCGCGGUAAUACGUAGGGGGCUAGCGUUAUCCGGAUUUACUGGGCGUAAAGGGUGCGUAGGUGGUCUUUCAAGUCGGUGGUUAAAGGCUACGGCUCAACCGUAGUUAGCCUCCGAAACUGGAAGACUUGAGUGCAAGAGAGGAAAGUGGAAUUCCCCGUGUAACGGUGAAAUGCGUAGAUAUUGGGAGGAACACCAGUAGCGAAGGCGGCUUUCUGGACUGCAACUGACACUGAGGCACGAAAGCGUGGGUAGCAAACAGG